UAAAUCCCAAGUAAGGUACCUGCCGUCGGC
RNAcentral lists this non-coding RNA (30 nucleotides) under Homo sapiens (human). The record is from RNAcentral. Lineage: Eukaryota; Metazoa; Chordata; Mammalia; Primates; Hominidae.